RNAcentral lists this ribosomal RNA (462 nucleotides) under Triticum aestivum (bread wheat). Its description in RNAcentral is "partial small subunit ribosomal RNA". Lineage: Eukaryota; Viridiplantae; Streptophyta; Magnoliopsida; Poales; Poaceae. The record is from RNAcentral.
AUGUGCUUCUAUUUGCGCAGACACUACAUCCACUCCAUGUUUCUAGUCUGGGCUGUUUUGUUGCACAUUUUUUGUAAAACUAAUCCCUUGUAUCUAUUUGCACACAUCCAGGCAGAAGUUGGUUUUGCUACUGGGUCUAGUUGCACAGAGUGGUGUUUAUUUACACAGACAUCAGAUUACUAUUGCUAUUCCCUCCAAUUAUGGAGAAGACCGGUGGAAGAUCCAGAGGCAAAGGGGAAGGGAAAGUACAGAAGGGAGGACCUGGAGCCAGAAGUGAACUUACCUUGGUUGAUGCUGCCUGGUAUGCUUCUUCUCCUCCCUCCUGUUGCCACUUUAGUUCUUGUCAAAAAAAUACCCUUGUUUGGUUUGCCAUGGCAGCUCUGUAGGUUUUUGGAUCCAGGAUGGGAUCCCCUUUCUUUCAUGGAGAAGAAGGAGACGCCUUGGAGGAGGAAGUGUAGAUGA